Photinus pyralis (common eastern firefly) is the source of this 472-nucleotide long non-coding RNA. RefSeq lists it as uncharacterized. NCBI's taxonomy places the organism in Eukaryota, Metazoa, Arthropoda, Insecta, Coleoptera, Lampyridae. The record is from RefSeq and is a predicted model, not a curated record. The transcript has 3 exons.
AGUUAAGCCCCUCCUCAACAAUUACCGCCAAAUUUGAAUACGACAUUGUUAUUGGUGUAAUUUUUGAAGCCACAAUCACACUUGUAAAGCGAAUUGGCCGAAUUGGGUAAUCUGUCAUCUUGCCUAUUGCGUUUCUGCCGGUUUUUACGUUUUUACAUCUUUACUUGCGUCAAUUUGCCAUUAAUCUCCUUUAUUCACACAAAAUAGUCUUUAUAAAGACUCGUCGGUGUAUUCUAAAGAUAGUCAGGGUUAUAUUAUUCGCGAUCAAGAAAAGUUGUACGCAAACAUGAAUGUCGCCGGUGCUGCUUUCUCUCCACCGAAAAAACGUUUUGCCAAGCACUUUUCAGUUGAAGACAAAACUGGCAUUUUAAAUAUCUUCAAGGCAUAUUCGGAAGACAACCCGGAGGUAUCUAAAACGGAUAAAGUUGAGUUUACGGCUAAAGCAGCAGGUGUAAGCAUUCCGAGACAUUGG